CCAGCAGCUGCGGUAAUUCCAGCUCCAAUAGCGUAUAUUAAAGUUGUUGCGGUUAAAAAGCUCGUAGUUGAACUUCUGCUGAGGACGACCUACCCACCCACGGGUGCGUGUCAGUGUUGACCGAGGCAUCCUCCUGGAUGCGGCUGAGCUUAAUCGUUCAGUUCGUUCCAGGACUUUUACUUUGAGGAAAUUAGAGUGUUUCAAGCAGGCUUUUGCCUUGAAUAUUUUAGCAUGGAAUAAUAAUUUAGGACUUCGGUUCUAUUUUGUUGGUUUCUAGAACUGAAGUAAUGAUUAAAAGGGACAGUCGGGGGCAUUCGUACUCAACAGUCAGAGGUGAAAUUCUUGGAUUUGUUGGAGACGAACUACUGCGAAAGCAUUUGCCAAGGAUGUUUUCAUUGAUCAAGAACGAAAGU
Molecule: ribosomal RNA, 413 nt
Filed under: uncultured eukaryote
Lineage: Eukaryota
Description: SSU rRNA
Rfam family: Eukaryotic small subunit ribosomal RNA
Source: RNAcentral